AAUCCUACGGGGGGCAGCAGUGGGGAAUAUUGGGCAAUGGGCGCAAGCCUGACCCAGCAACGCCGCGUGAAGGAAGAAGGCUUUCGGGUUGUAAACUUCUUUUAUGAGGGACGAAACAAAUGACGGUACCUCAUGAAUAAGCCACGGCUAACUACGUGCCAGCAGCCGCGGUAAUACGUAGGUGGCAAGCGUUAUCCGGAUUUACUGGGUGUAAAGGGUGUGUAGGCGGGACUGCAA
Molecule: ribosomal RNA, 237 nt
Filed under: uncultured bacterium
Lineage: Bacteria
Description: partial 16S ribosomal RNA
Rfam family: Bacterial small subunit ribosomal RNA
Source: RNAcentral